RNAcentral lists this ribosomal RNA (325 nucleotides) under Allapsidae sp. RNAcentral's name for it is "SSU rRNA". The stretch from base 56 to 325 matches the Rfam family "Eukaryotic small subunit ribosomal RNA", at positions 684 to 955 of the family's 1831-position model. Lineage: Eukaryota; Cercozoa; Glissomonadida; Viridiraptoridae. The record is from RNAcentral.
GAUUUCUGGCACGAUGUACCUGUCCCGCUGCGGUCAACGCAUGUGAGUGACGGAGUAUGUUUGCCAUCCUUCUAGAGAGCGCAAGCUAUCCUUUACUGGACCGGUUUGUGUCAUCUAGAUCUUUUACUUUGAAAAAAUUAGAGUGUUUAAAGCAGGCUUGCGCUAUGAAUACAUUAGCAUGGAAUAAUAAUUUAGGACUUUGGUCUUAUUUUGUUGGUUUCUAGGACUAAAGUAAUGAUUGAUAGGGACAGUUGGGGGUGCUAGUAUUCAGCGGCCAGAGGUGAAAUUCUUGGAUUCGCUGAAGACUAACUUAUGCGAAAGCAUU